RNAcentral lists this transfer RNA (96 nucleotides) under Actinomycetota bacterium. Its description in RNAcentral is "tRNA-Trp". Lineage: Bacteria; Bacillati; Actinomycetota. The record is from RNAcentral.
GUAGACGGCCAUCUGGAAGCCUUCCCGCAGGUCGCCAAAACCCGAGGAAACGGGCUUUUAACCCUCGUGUCGCGGGUUCGAAUCCUGCCCGGCCCA